UCCGAACAGAAGCCUUAAAUACAACUGCAAGCUACUGUAUUUAUUGACUGAGACCUUCCUGCUCUUGUUCUCAGGUUUUCCACAUGGUGCCUCCUUCCUCCAUCUGGGUUUCAGAAUGAGAAAACAGGUGGAACCCAGAUAAGCCAGCUCAGUCCAGCCCAUCCCAGCAGAGCCAUGGCCAACCUGAAGCUAAGCCACAGUCCUUAUGUAAGGAAUGGUUAUCCCACCCAGUUCUGGCCACUGAGACAUGGCAGAAAUCUUCUGGGAUCUACUGGUGAAGAUGUUCUUCCUCCUUGGUCAAAAGAGAGAGUGAGGAGGAAAAGUCUCCCCAAAUGGAAAGAGUCUGGGUCCUUGAUGUUACUGUGAGUUGCUGAAGCAAAGCUGGGACUGGUUUUUUCAGGACUUCUUCGCUGGUGAUUUCAGGCUCCCUCUGGUUCCCAGAACUCUGCACUGGCAGUACUAGCAAAUUUGAGAGGAAAGUGGCACAAGACUUUCUACAAUGAUGGAAAAAAUCUAUGUAUUCUCUUUCCAAUAUGGCAGCCACAGCCAUAUGUGACUGUCGAAAGUUUAAAAGGUGGCCAGUGUGACUAAGGAACUGAAUUUUUAAUAUUAUUUAAUUUUAAAAAACUUACAUUAAAAUGGCCGCAUGAAGCCAGG
Molecule: long non-coding RNA, 657 nt
Organism: Bubalus bubalis (water buffalo)
Lineage: Eukaryota; Metazoa; Chordata; Mammalia; Artiodactyla; Bovidae
Exons: 3
Source: RefSeq, a predicted model, not a curated record